Molecule: ribosomal RNA, 549 nt
Filed under: uncultured bacterium
Lineage: Bacteria
Description: bacterial SSU rRNA
Rfam family: Bacterial small subunit ribosomal RNA
Source: RNAcentral
UGGGGAAUAUUGCACAAUGGGCGAAAGCCUGAUGCAGCCAUGCCGCGUGUGUGAAGAAGGCCUUAGGGUUGUAAAGCGCUUUCAGCGAGGAGGAAAGGAUUAAAGUUAAUACCUUUAGUCUGUGACGUUACUCGCAGAAGAAGCACCGGCUAACUCCGUGCCAGCAGCCGCGGUAAUACGGAGGGUGCGAGCGUUAAUCGGAAUUACUGGGCGUAAAGCGUGCGUAGGCGGCUACUUAAGUUGGAUGUGAAAGCCCCGGGCUCAACCUGGGAACUGCAUCCAAAACUGAGUGGCUAGAGUGCGAGAGAGGAGUGUGGAAUUUCCUGUGUAGCGGUGAAAUGCGUAGAUAUAGGAAGGAACACCAGUGGCGAAGGCGACACUCUGGCUUGACACUGACGCUGAGGUACGAAAGCGUGGGGAGCAAACAGGAUUAGAUACCCUGGUAGUCCACGCCGUAAACGAUGUCUACUAGUUGUCCGUUGUCUUGUACGAUGGGUAACGCAGCUAACGCGAUAAGUAGACCGCCUGGGGAGUACGGCCGCAAGGUUA